GGUGAGGUGGCCGAGUGGCUUAAGGCGCAUCCCUGCUAAGGAUGAAUAGGGGCAACUCUAUCGUGGGUUCGAAUCCCACCCUCACCGCCA
This 90-nucleotide transfer RNA is filed under the name Sneathiella sp. Its description in RNAcentral is "tRNA-Ser". It matches the Rfam family "tRNA". From Rfam's summary of the family: Transfer RNA (tRNA) molecules are approximately 80 nucleotides in length. Their secondary structure includes four short double-helical elements and three loops (D, anti-codon, and T loops). The record is from RNAcentral. RNAcentral also lists the same sequence under 2 other names. Lineage: Bacteria; Pseudomonadati; Pseudomonadota; Alphaproteobacteria; Sneathiellales; Sneathiellaceae.